This 81-nucleotide non-coding RNA is filed under the name Roseburia sp. CAG:45. Its description in RNAcentral is "ZMP/ZTP riboswitch aptamer (pfl RNA motif)". It matches the Rfam family "ZMP/ZTP riboswitch aptamer (pfl RNA motif)". From Rfam's summary of the family: Previously known as pfl RNA. ZMP is also known as AICAR. The record is from Rfam by way of RNAcentral. Lineage: Bacteria; Bacillati; Bacillota; Clostridia; Lachnospirales; Lachnospiraceae. RNAcentral also lists the same sequence under 1 other name.
UUCAGGUCAUAUGACUGACGGAACCGUGGGAAUAACCACAUGAAGUAUGACCUGAGAAAGCCGACCGUCUGGGCAGUUAAG